UGUGGGAGCUGGCUUGCCGGCGAUAGCGGUGGGUCAGCAACCUAUACGUUGACUGAUACACCGCUAUCGCCGGCAAGCCAGCUCCCACA
Molecule: unclassified non-coding RNA, 89 nt
Filed under: Pseudomonas antarctica
Lineage: Bacteria; Pseudomonadati; Pseudomonadota; Gammaproteobacteria; Pseudomonadales; Pseudomonadaceae
Source: RNAcentral